This 500-nucleotide ribosomal RNA is filed under the name uncultured Pseudomonadota bacterium. RNAcentral describes it as "bacterial SSU rRNA". It matches the Rfam family "Bacterial small subunit ribosomal RNA", at positions 355 to 845 of the family's 1533-position model. Lineage: Bacteria; Pseudomonadati; Pseudomonadota. The record is from RNAcentral.
UGGGGAAUUUUGGACAAUGGGGGCAACCCUGAUCCAGCAAUGCCGCGUGUGUGAAGAAGGCCUGCGGGUUGUAAAGCACUUUAGGUGGGGAAGAAGGCUUUAAGGUGAAUAGCCUUAAGGAUUGACGGUACCCACAGAAUAAGCACCGGCUAACUCUGUGCCAGCAGCCGCGGUAAUACAGAGGGUGCAAGCGUUAAUCGGAAUUACUGGGCGUAAAGCGCACGUAGGUGGGUCCAUAAGUUUGAUGUGAAAGCCCUGGGCUUAACCUGGGAAUGGCGUUGAAGACUGUGGGUCUAGAGUCGGGGCAGAGGGUUGUGGAAUUUCCGGUGUAGCGGUGAAAUGCGUAGAGAUCGGAAAGAACACCAGUGGCGAAGGCGACAGCCUGGGCCCAGACUGACACUGAGGGGCGAAAGCGUGGGGAGCAAACAGGAUUAGAUACCCUGGUAGUCCACGCUGUAAACGAUGAGCACUGGCUGUGCGAAAGCUUAUGCUUUUGCGUA